AUUUGGCAAAUCAGAUGGCUCUUAUUACAAAAGCCUUUGAAACACACUGUCCCUUCCACCCUGUACUGUCUGCUGGGGACCAGGGUACUUGAAAACAGACACCUGAAGAGAAAAAAGAGAGCCAGUGCAGUUUCCAUAGGAGCUUAAGGAGCUGUCAAGUUUAUCCCAGAUAUUGGUGAGCAGGGGACAGCUAAGCAGUCCUAUUGCCUACUGCACGAUGUGCCUUGACUGCAAAACCCAUUAACUUCUGGCCAGAGAAGCAGCAGUAAAACCCCUCAGAGCUCUCACUGUACAAGUCUACUUGUAGAUGAAGAGUUUAGGUUGUUUUUCCCUGGUUCCCAUUUUUCUCUGGUGAGACGGCGGAAAAACAGUGCUCCAUGGAAACCAACUCUCCUGGCAUUGGACAAAGAGCAGCAGAUCUCCUGAGCAGAAAUGACCCAAGCAGAAGUGUAUCCAGACUAGCACAGUGAUUAUUAAGAACAAACCCAGCACAUUACCUGUAAAACAGGGUUUUAGAAGGCAAGUGGAAGGCAGCUGAAGUGGCAGCAGCAUGGCAUUUGAGGUGGCUGGAGAAAGGAGGCAGUGAGCGGAAGAAUAGCUUUGUGAGAAGGCAGCAGGCUUGAAGACAAGGGCAGGGCACAACAGCAAGAAUAUGCACAGGAACAGAUCAGAAGAGACCAGAAAACAUCCUGUGGCUGUGGUGAAGGGAAGUAGCUACUGUCUUAACACUGACUUUCAAAAAACCGGCAGCAGCUGCGAUUUCUCACAGCACUUUUCAGAGGCAGCCCUACAAAGUCAGCUGUUAAUCCUAAAUCACAGUGUGAACAGCAAAUGAGAUGCUGGAGUGCAUCUUUUCCAAUGUGCUGCUUUACGUCUGGGCUGAAAAUGCAGAGCCGGAGUGGAAGAUCCUUUCCACAUGCUGCAGCAUCCAUAAGCAGGCUCUGGGCAGCUGGGAAGGAGACCCAGCUGUUCCACAAGACAUCUCUGAAGGGGCUGAUAACCAAUAUUCCUGGCACACAGGAGACACGGAUCCCUGGUCUUAAUUUCAGGGAAGCCAAGACCAGAAGACCAGCAGUGAGGGUCAGCAUUAAUACCCUAUGCAAGUCAUCAGGACCAGCUCUGAACUCGGCAGUUCUUCUAAGACAUGUGUCUGUUCAUCUGCCUUCCUCAUUCCCAGCGAGCACCCAAAGGACACAUUAAAUAUAACCUCAGACUCUGGUACAGAAAUACAUCACGAAACAUGACCCUCAGGUUUUGGUAGCAGCAGAGGUGCAGGGGUGGCUUCUGUGAAGACAGCAGGAACUGUCCCUGUGGCAGACAGAACCAGUUCCAGCAGGAUGUAGAAAAGAUCUGCCACUGGUCAAAGCUGAGCCACAGCUCUCCAGAUGUGGCAUCACCAGCGUGGAGUAAAGGGGAAGGACCUUUAAACUUUGCUACCACUCUAAACAAAGUGGCUUCCUCAAAUACUGUAAGAAACAGAGCUAUUCCUGUCCACUAGCCCAUCAGACCAGCCCAUGAGGGAGAUGCCUGGUGACUGGAGGGAGGCAGAAGAACUGAAGCUAAAUACAAUGAUCUAACUGAAGAGACCUCAGUGCAUUUCAGUAGGCAUAGGCUUAGGCAGAAAGACUUCUCAACCCUGGGCUCAGAUCUGUAAUAAUUUCCUGACAAAGAAAUCACAGAAAUAUUUUAUAGGAAGUGCCAUCAAGAACUCAUCUAGUUCACUUCCUUACUAUCCCAGAUUUUUCCCGGAGCUCCUGUUUCCCCAGAGUCAGCUGGAUGUUCGCAGCAUUUUGAGGUGAAGGCUUGGCUGGAGAGUUCGAACAGUACAUGGGGAAACAACUGUGGUGCAAGCUGUGUGUAAUGAGGGAUGGGCACAGCUGCAGCCAGGCUGGGAGCAGCUGCUUCCACAGGCUCGCAGAAUCCUUUGGGUCCAGCAU
Lepidothrix coronata (blue-crowned manakin) is the source of this 1937-nucleotide long non-coding RNA. RefSeq lists it as uncharacterized. The record is from RefSeq and is a predicted model, not a curated record. The transcript has 11 exons. NCBI's taxonomy places the organism in Eukaryota, Metazoa, Chordata, Aves, Passeriformes, Pipridae.